Molecule: long non-coding RNA, 597 nt
Organism: Austrofundulus limnaeus
Lineage: Eukaryota; Metazoa; Chordata; Actinopteri; Cyprinodontiformes; Rivulidae
Exons: 3
Source: RefSeq, a predicted model, not a curated record
UCACAGCCACAUACCUUUGACACCAUAAAAUACCAGUCAGAUAACAAGAUAGUUGCAUCUAAGAACUUGUAGGCGCCUGACAUCAUCCUCCAGACAGCAGUUCUUUAAGUUAUAUAAUCUCUAGAUAUUAAUACUCAUUUUUCCUGCAGUGAGCGAAGAGGCCAGCUGUGAACAAGGACAGAUCUGGAGCAUGCUGUUCCUUCACACAUGCAGGGUCUCAGUCCAGCACUUGUGAUYUCCAACAAUAGACCCACUUUAAGUCUCCGCAUCAAACAUCCUCCUGAUCACUGGAGCUCAGCCUCGGUCCUGUGGAUGAAAAAUCGUUCUCCUGCCAAACCUCGCUGAGGAAAUGAGCCGUGUCAAAAAGACACAGAGCACAGCUGUCAGAGUGUGAAAACUUCUGGUCAGCUCCUGAUGGAUAGUUUGGCCUCCCUUCACAUCCAAUGAUCUGCUUUUCRCUCCAUGAUCCACAAUGUGACCGGAUCGUGACAAUCUUGGAAAAUUAUGAUGCUGCUGCAGACAAUACUCAUCCAGUUCAUCCAUCCAUCCAUCCAUUAUCUUUGGAUAAAUAUAUGCUAAAUAAAGAUAUGAUGAAUA